Molecule: non-coding RNA, 4964 nt
Organism: Callithrix jacchus (white-tufted-ear marmoset)
Lineage: Eukaryota; Metazoa; Chordata; Mammalia; Primates; Cebidae
Source: RefSeq, a predicted model, not a curated record
AUGAACUUACUGCGCCAGUUGAAAUUCACACGCACCAACAAAGUGCGGGGGUACGUGCGUGGGGGUCUGUCCUUUGCUGCUGCAGGGUGGGCAUCAGGUCAGCUGAGUCACCCGAGGAGGUGGGAGUGCAAGACACUGCCGGGAAGACGGAUUCCGAGGCAGAAGGGUGUAAUUAAGGAUUUCCACCCCCGUUCCCACCGCAGCGCGGGCUCCCGGCUCCCCAACCCCCGCCCCUUGGCUGCGAGAAAGCCCUCCUCCGAGCUUCCGAAACUGCUGGAAGUUCCAGAGUUUUGUAGCUGCGAACCGGCGACCUCAGCCCUGAGCCGAACCGCUCUCUGGCUCGGCGGUCCGCGGGAUCCUUCAGGCACCUUUCAGGUCCGGGAGGAGGCGGCUGCUGGGGUGGGGCGUGCGCGCUUGGGGCGGCCGGCCGACUGCGCGCGGCUCACCGUGGGCGCCCGAGGGUCUCCCCGGCCUCCCCUGGGACUCGCCGCCCGCCCGCCGGUGGAGGGCUGGGAGCCCACGACCAGGCCUGCCCGGGCCGCCGCCGCCGCCGACCAGUCCUCGGAAGCCUGAUGGAAACUGGUGCGCUUCUAGCAUCCUGGCACCACCCAUCACUUUCAGCUUCAGAGCGGAUUCCGCUGACCUGUACCUAACUUGACUCCACCGCUAGGAAAUCCACUUGCCUUUGUAACUACCGUGCAGAACCAGAAACAGAUCGAUCACUGGGAGAACAAGGCGACGAUGCUUCCUAGGAAAGCCUUGAACCUUUAUGAUAGAUAGUUUCUCCAAAGUUUGGGGUAGGCUUGACGAGGAGAUCCCUGAACUCGAACUAGUGUGCCCAGACCCACAACCCGAGUUCUGGAAGUUGCUAAGUGCUCGAGCGCAGCUCAGGGAUUAGGGAAGUCUUGGUAGUAAGCGAACCCGACCCGGCUCUCAGGGCGCUGCUGACGGAAAGCAGGACGCACACAUCUUUGCAGAAGAAUCUAGAGUCGCCCUGGGGUAGAUCCGUCUCCUUUUGCAACUGAAUUUCACACUUGAGAAAGAUAAGAUCGUGGGGCAGAUGAAUGAUAUCCCCCCACUCAUUCUACUCAUUCUCAUUAUUAAAAAAAAAAAAAAAGCUUAUCCAUUAUGAAAGUAUGUCCCAGAUAUUACAAGACGAUCAUGCAAACUACUUGAAAUUUGAAUCCGGACAUGAUCGUAAGGAAACCCUCAUAAAGCACGUUUGUGGCCCAGUUCUCUCUCACACACAAAAGUAUUAGAUCUUUUAAAACUUUUCUAAGUAUCUAAGUAAGUGAGACGGCCUCUUACUAUCUAGGAAAACACAAUAAAGAGACUGCCCCAAUCCUAAAGAGGCCAGAACUGAAGAGCUACAUUGUGGGAGUUAAGGGAUGCUUCUUUUCAGCUCUUUUUUUCUAGAAUCCUCAUUAUAGCUAACGCUGGUAAUAAAGGUAGGAAACAAUAGAACUCAUAAAACACAGAAACGGUAAACGGUAAUAAAUCUUGGCUCCUGUCUCCAACCCAGUUCCUUCUUACAUGACAUUCAAAGUUUUUCAGUAUGCAAUAGUGAACAUUCACACUAUGGUUGCAAUAUAGAAGAAAUAACUCUAGAACUCAUUAAUACGGCCCUGCGCACACUAUGCAGGCGUCGCUGGUGGACAAAGCUCGCAGGUGUCCUCCUCUACAUCUGCCUGCGCUUGUAAUCCAGGCAGCUUAUGUGUGUUAAAUUUGGGUCUCUCUCUCUCUCUCUCUCUCUCUCUCUCUCUCUCUCUCUCUCUCUCUCUCUCUCUCUCUCUCUCUUCUCUCUCUCUCUCUCAUACAAAGAAGUCCCAUCAUUUGAGGAAGAGCUGAUGUUGUGCAGUGCCAAACUGUACCACAGGCUUCCUCCUUCAAAUGAAUCCCUGGAAAGCAGAGAGGCAGCUCGCUACGUGACCAUCAUGCUUUUUGCCUCACUGAACUGUUGUCAAGAGAGGGCGGGGAUGGUGGGCAGCUCACGCCGCGCUCUCCGCAGCAAUAAAAACUGGAGCGGGAAAAGAAAUGCAAGACAUCGGUGUCUGUUUUGUAAGCCUCUGGCCGCUCUCAGCAAACUGCCUGGCGCGGCUGGUGACUUUGCGGUGUGAACGCAGCCGGUCGUGCCCGGGAUAAUGGGACCGAGCUGGCGGCAUCGCCCUUUCGUGGGCCCCUCUUGUCACACAGAUGCGCAGCUCUCCGAAAGGAAAACGUGACCCAGCUCCCCUCGCAGCACCUGGCCCUACUGCUAGGAAUGCCUGCCUGCGGCCUUUGCACCUCCAAAAAGUGCUCGGGAGGAAGAGAAUGGGCCGAACCUCCGGAUUCCAUUUGGGGAAGAGGAGCCAGGGCCACCAGCACCCUGCCCUGCUGCUCCGCCUCCGGGUGGGCCAAGUCUCAGCAGAGUGUCGCAGCCCACCUGAAUGUGACACCUGUCCAUUUUAGUCAGCAUCACAGGCGCCUUCCGUUUCUCCCCUUUGGGGGCUGUCCUUUUUCUCCUCCUAAAGAGCCAGCUUGGACCUGAAGGGGCCGGGUAGCAGCUGUUUGUGCCUCUCUCCCGUGCGGACCCACAGUCUCAGCAGCCACUUCCUCCUUUGACGCGCGAGGCUUACAGGCACGCAGAAAGGGAACACUGGGUCAGGCAGGUAUUAGGCUCUCCUAGGAGACUGUGGACAUCACUGGACUUGCUUACAUCUGCUCUAGCACACUGAGGCAUGAGCUGCCUGCCUGCUGGGUUCAAACCCAGUAGCUGCCCUGUCUGUAACCUCUCCCACUCAAGAGACCCUAGGAACGAUGAGGAACGGGGUAGAAAUGACCAGGGGAGAGAAAUCGCAGGUACCUAGACCUUCCAGAUCACCCCUUGAAGACCAGGAAAGCCAGUAACCCGCAUAUGCCCCAAAGGAGGUUACGUCUCAACUGAAAAACAGCAAAAACGUGGUGGGCGACUUCAAAACAGGCUAAAGGGUGGAGCCGCCGAGCAAAAUCCCAAUUCGAGGCACCUGAGGUAUUUUCCUUACAGAAAUGGCUUCACAGGUAGCAAGUGAUUGAUGUGCAACAGUGAACAACAUUAAAACUUACAUUUUUCAUGGAAGUCUCUCAGGUAGCCUUAAAGUUUUUAUUGGGUGGAGUUCCCCCCUCCCUCCACUGGCAAAAAAAAAAUAACUUAUCCCUUGGCUAUUAGACUGAGGGAAUGUAAAACAAAUAUGUUUAAUUUGAUCACUGACAAAGUGAUAAAAUUAAAUGACUGUAGUGGAAAAUAUGCUUUCAUGAUUUUAAUUAAAGCAUGAUAAGCCUCUCUCAGUGUGUAUGCAUUUUGGAGCCACUGGGUGGACUGGUGAUGAGACAAAGCAACCUUUAACUGGGACUGUGCUCCUCCAGUGCAUUCGCUUGUAUUCCAUGGUGUAAACCUGGCCUAUGUGUAGCUCCGACCUUUGGUGAAAUGCUUAUGUGUAGCAGCACCCAAGGGUUCCUUGCUUUGCCUAGAGCUUCAUUAAAGACCCCAGGUUUCACAAAGGAUUUUGAACACCAGUGUCUUUUAACGUGGAACUCUCAGUUUUGGUUUCGCUCUGUGAAUGUGUUUCACACUUGCUAUAUUAUUCCACAUUGAAAGUUGGAACCUUUAUAAUUAAGAGUUAUCAUGGAGUACCUUUUAAAAUCUGACAUAUUUUCUAUAAACGAGUUUUCAGUGAGUAGAGUAUAUAGUGCACUCAAAGUAGGCAUUAGCUGCUGGCAAGGUGUAUGAUAAAAUAGUGACACUACAGGGCAAUUUUUUAGUAACACCCUUUGGAUAUUUCAGGGUACAGCUUAUAUGUUAACUUGUAACUGUAGGUUAAAAAUACAGGUAUCAAGUGACUAUAAAUCAGUAUCAGACAAAUUGAACAUCUUUUCAUUUCCCACAAGUACCCUGCUCUUUCUCCUCCCUUUGGUGAACCCUUAGUCUGUAAUACCCUGUAUCCUGGGACCCUGGAACACAUUGUGUUUAAAGCACUGAUUAGUGGUAUUCUCCUCCCUUAGCAGUGCUUCCACUGUGUUUUCUGCAUGUAAUAAAGGUUGGCACUGUUCUUCGUAUAGGCCUUUCCCAAUAGCUGCGAGCUCUUGGAGUGUAGGGGCUUGACCUUAUGCCUCUUUGGACACGCAAGCCUAGCACAUGGGCUGGCAUAUAGCAGCUGCUUAAUAAAUAUUUAUUGAAUGAAUCAGUCGAUACAUGAAAAAAAUAUAUGCAUUGUCUUUAGCCUUUCUGACUUUCUCUUUAAAAUAGGGAUAUGUCAUAAAUAAAAUUUACCUUGAAAAUGUAUUAAGUACAUUUUUCUAUUUCUCUGACCAUCAACUUUUUCAGGGGACGUCGUUUUAAAAUUCUGGUCAUUACAAUGAACCACUUUUGACCUUGAUUGACUUCUCAGAAACGUAACAAAACAUUGAGAAAAGACGAAGAGAUCAAAUUUUGUUUUUUUCUUUUUCAGUAGGAUAUUAUGUUUACUGAAAUUUGGAAACAAAUUGUAGCAAGCACCUAUAACAUGUGGACACUCCCGUUUUUAUAUUAAAUAUGACAUUAUUUAUAUAACCCUAUUGUCUUCCAAAUUUCCUUUGAAUUUUUAGUGGUAAGGAGCAUAGAGCCUAAGAUGACUGCUUUUCAUUUCUUCAAGACAAGGAUUCAGCUGGUAUUGGGGAAACAAUCUCUGUUUGUUCCUGUCUGCUCAUGAGGACUGUUUCUAAUUGAUCUGGCAUGGAAUUUAGUUGGCGAUGUGUAUGUUGCAACUGAAGCGCAGAGCCUGUGUGCUUUGUAAAGUGAUAACCAUAUGGGCCUUAUUUGAAACAUUUGAGGAUUUUCGACAUUAACCUGGGUUAAAUUGAGCUAUAAAUUCAACUCAAAUGUAUAUGUCCCGACAAAUUCAUCAUCACUUUGGGUAGAUUCGAGCCAUGCUCCUCUCAGAUUAAUAAAGAUGAUGACCGCUUUUCACAAA